This 295-nucleotide long non-coding RNA is filed under the name Capsicum annuum. RNAcentral's name for it is "long non-coding RNA (CANN_LNC005895)". Lineage: Eukaryota; Viridiplantae; Streptophyta; Magnoliopsida; Solanales; Solanaceae. The record is from RNAcentral.
UUUUAUUAAUGUUUUAGACUUCUUCUUGUGUAACCUAUACAGUUUGAAUCUUGUGGAGAUAUUACUUGUCGUUUUAGCGUAUUUGAUCUCUGGAAUUUGAAAAAUAUACAUAGAUAUUCUGAUGAAAAUGUAGUUUAAAUGUAGUUCGACUCACCAAGGAAGCAAACAGGGUGGAUUCUCUUUAAUUUGUUGUUAAAAUAUGAUCCAAUAGAUGUGGCUUUACAGGGCAAUGAGUUGAAUGAUUUGUGAAAUAUUUCAAUUUUCAAGAACUCUCAACUUCCUAUUUCCGUGGCAA